This 4536-nucleotide long non-coding RNA is filed under the name Sus scrofa (pig). Its description in RNAcentral is "lncRNA (ENSSSCG00060008898.1)". The record is from RNAcentral. Lineage: Eukaryota; Metazoa; Chordata; Mammalia; Artiodactyla; Suidae.
GAGCCGCACCCUCGGCAUAUGAAGGUUCCCAGGUUAGGGGUCAAAUUGGAGCUACAGCUGCCAGCCUACACCACAGCCACAGCGACGCAGGAUCUGAGACCCAUCUACACCACAGCUCAAGGCAACACCAGAUCCUUAACCCACUGAGCGAGGCCAGGGAUCAAACCCGCAACCUCAUGGUUCCUAAUCAGAUUCAUUUCCCCUGCGCCACGAGGGGAACUCCAGCACAGAGCAAUCUACCCAGAAUUCUGUGAUUAUCUAUGGGGAAAAAGAAUCUGAGAAAGAAUGGAUAUGUGUAUGUGUGUGGCUGGGUCACUUUGUUGUACAGCAGCAAUUAUCACAACCUUGUAAAUCAACUGUACUUCAGAUGCAGAAGAAAUUCCUUUCAUGGCUCAAGCUGAGAAAGGUUGGACUUGGCCUCAACAAUAUUUUAAAUCUAGUAAUUAAUCUUAGUAUUUUCAUUAUUGCCCCCCAGAGAAAUCAGAUAUAAAUGUGCGUGCGCCUCCUUUUGUGCAAAUGUAUUACCUGUUAAAAGUUUUAUUUUAACUUGAAGAAAACAUAAGCUUGAGCCCUAUCCUAUGUAUUGUAUUCCUUCCAGAACAGUUUGGUUAAAAACUGCAAGGUUGCAUCAGAUUUUGUUACUACAUGGCAAAUGAUCUGGCAACACUUCUUGUUCUGAAUCACAACAAACACUGCCACAGGCGCCAAUGUUGCUGUUUCUUUAAGUACAUGACCUUGUCCAGGAAAUGGGAAGUGGACAGCCCUAGAAUAGCCUUGAGGAAAUGUUUGUGUUAUGGAAACUUCUGCGGGGAUAACAUGGUACAUUUCCUAAGACCCAGGUAAAAGCAGAAGCGAGAGAAAGACGGUCUCAGCUGCUUCCCAGGGAUUGUUCCUGCACUGAAAACCGUGUCUCCCUGGCUCACUGAAUGGGGAAGGGACUUGGGACAUGGGGACCAAUCUGUCUAACUUCAGUGGAGUUGGACCGGUGCUUAAAAUAGGCACAAGGGCACUGGACCCAGCUUUUUGAAGUCUUUCUGUUGGUCGCAGACACCUCCUCUGUGAUGUUUGACAUUCGCUCUUCAGCUGGAAGGUCCUUUUGAAUCGUAUAGCUAUGAAGAACCAUAUUUCCUCCAGUCCAGCUUAACCCCUUCGUCUGUAACCGCCAGCAUGAUGCCUUCACUUUCUCACUUUGACUUGGAACUCUUAGGUACCACCUUCAGAGUCCUUCAAUACAAAGAGGUACUGAAAUGGCUGAGGCUGUGUAACGUCACAAGUCAAUACUCAGGUUAACUAGUACUUCCAGGAGGAGGCAGUUCUUGUCCUGAUGUUGCCCCAAACCGGUCCCCUCAGACCACUCCUGGGAACCCUGUCACAGUUGCUUGCGCUGUUUCCCCCCUUCAAUUUUAAUACAUAUUAGCAAAAACGAAAUGAGAUUUUUCAUGGAGGUAAUUUCAAUUUCUGCCCAAAGAUGGGCAGAGAAAGCAGCAUGAUACUUUGCCAGCUGCAGCUUUAGCACUUUGAUGGAAGGAUGCAAGCACACUCUUUAUCUCUUUAUGGAUCACAAAGGCCUGAACUAAUUAGUACUUAUUAGAAAGCCAAUUAGAAAUACAUUUUAUUUCUCCGUGUGGUGUAAACGGAAUAUACCAAGGUGGAUUGCGGGCUGGGAUACCCUCUACAGCACUAAAGCCCAGAUAGAGAAUCGGGGUCUGCAAAGCACUGCACACAGAGUGGGGGUUAUUUUCACCCCAUAAGUCUGGAAGCGUGAGAAUCUCUUUCUUAGAUGCGAUAUGGACCCAACGCUAUGCAAAUGCUGAGUCUGCUGCUAGGAGCCCUGUGCUUUGGGUAAUGAGUAUCCUUUGCCAAUUUUAGCCUAACAGCCUAGCAUUCCAACAGACCUCUCUUUGGUAAUAUUUCCUUUUCAUUCUCAUUUUCUUCGUGCUCAACCUUGCGCCUCCUGGAUUUCCUUUAAAUGAUUUUUCCACCCCCAUAGUUAAACAUAGACGGCAUCUGCUUUUGAGAACCUUCCAUCAUCUUCUUCUCUGACAGCCCUCUUAUUCAGUUAUCCGUAAGUGCAAAAUCAGGGUUGACGUAUCUCCCACACUCCCUUUAACCACUCUAUCCCAGACUGACCUAUGUGGGCUCCUGAUUUCUCUAAGGGAUCUUCACCAGGUGGCCAGCUGAUGAAUCCAAAGGAGCCAUAUUCUUCCACAAAUUUCCCAUUCACUCAGUUGAUAUUAGAAUGCUAAUGGCUAUUUACUAAAUACAAAAUUCAUUAUAUACCAUAUGUAGGUAUGUAUAUAUCCAUCCAUCCAUUCAUGCAUCUACAGCUCUAUCAUCUACAUUCUAUUUAUUUACCGUCAUCUUUCUAUCAUCUAUCUCUCUUUUUCUCAUCUAUACAAGCUUUGAUAACAGUCUAUGUAUUAUACGGCCUAGGAAUUUGGAAGGGGGAUGGCUUUUCCUAUCAUAUGCUUCUUUUGAUUCAGACGCAGCAGGUAAGCCCUUUCUGGCUCUCCACUCAUGACCUGGAUCUGUAUGCAUUUAACUUAGGUGUCACCUCUCCCCUCACUGGACUGUUUCUUAUUACCCAGCACUGUGCCCAUUUCGAAAUGGACAUCCUAAGCUCAGGUGCAUCCAUGUGGACAAAGGAUACCUGAUAGUUCUCAGAAGUACUUGCUCAGGGCCUUGGCUCUCCCCCACUGUUAGUGCUGAGCUGACUAAGCCAUCUGCUAGCCUGCUUUCUUUUCUUGUACUCUUUGGGGCCUCCCAUGUGUCAUUCUGAAAGCCACCACUGCUACCCACUAAAUUGCUUUCUGCUGCUCAUAUUCUUUAUUGCCUUUGUCUUAUUUUAGAAUCUUACAUAGCUCUCAUCCUUCACCCACCUUUGAGCUUAAACAGAAUUGGUCCAGUUCUAUGGGUCACUCUUUAUGAUUAUUCAAAAUGAAAUGAAAGCUUUAGCACAGAAAGGUCUAAUAAAGAGAGUUACUUAUUUUAUCCUGUAAUAUCACUGCUUUUUUUUUUUUCUGGGGGGAGGGUGUGGUAGGGACAGGUUUUCAAGGUUUGUGAUUCUAAACAAAAAUGCCCAAGAAAUUCUAUUACCCAUAAAGUACAAAAUAAACAGACUUCUACAGAAAAGGCACAUCCUUAUGCCCCCAAUAUUGCCUUCAAUGCACUGGCCGCUUGGCUGACAUUUACACUGGUAUUUUCUUCUAGUUUUUCCAUGAAAUUUGCUUCCCCCCUUUUAAGGGCGUCUCCAUCAUAUCACUUUAUUAUAAGUAGGAAUCAAUCACAUGUCUCUUCUUAGAUCAGUUACCAAAUAAUAUAUGGAACCUCAUCUAUCCCUAAAAUCCACCCUCACUUUUCAAUCUAGGGCAUUUAAAUACGCUUUUUUUUUUUUUUUAAUCCCUUCUCGUGUAUCUUCAUUUUAGACAGUCCAAGUUUUGUGUCCAUCUUUUGUCAACUAAUGGGCACAAGUGAAUUAAUGAUCCUUGAAAGAAAACCUGGGACCAGGUUUUUGAGUCAUUCCUGAUGCAGAGAUUCUUCUAGCAUUCCCUGAACUUCAAAACCCUCUCUAAUGAGAAGAAGGUUCCAAUAAAAGCUGGGUUCACUUGCCACAAAUUAGAAGUGUAAUUCUUGGAGUUCCCUUGUGGUGCAAUGGGUUAAGGAUCCAGCAUUGUCACUGCUGUGAUGUGGGACCUUCCACAUGCUGCAGGCGUGGCUGAGAAAAAAGAAAAGAGGUGUAAUUCUUUCUCUUUUCAAAGACUUAGGCAUUUGGCCAUUGGAAUCUCAACAAGGAGGACUCCAGCUGUACAAAAAAUUCACACUUUCCUGUAUUAAAUAUUAUUCACUGUUAAAAUUUUAUUCCCAGCCCAGAUCCUUGCUGCUGUAUGGUUCACUGAUAUUGCAUUCUCUAUACAUAACCUCCAGCCUUACCCUCAGCUGCUCUAUGACCGAUCCUUCAGGCUUCAAGAAUGACCUGUGAGUGUGAGGGCCAUUUUCUCCCCACUUUCCUCUGCUGGGUGAUUGGAAGGGUUUUCCCGGGUUUGCGACGCAGCUCCUCCCAGAUCACUCAGAUCCAAGUCACUCCUGCUACUGGAAUCAGAGUUAGCGCCCGAGAUACACAGAGCCCUUAGAUUUGCACAAUUUUUCUGAAAGCAGGGGUGGAUGGUCAAAGCAGGGGUGGAUUUUAUGACCCCCUGGGAAAUAGGACUGCUGCUGUACUGUCAUUUCCUGAGUAACGAAAAAUGCAUUUUUGGUAUUUAUCAGAGCAUGAUUCAACUAUAACUGAUCCUCAGUUGUAGUUUUAAUUAUACAUACUUGGUUUUACUUUUUUUUUUUUUUUUUUCUUUCCUGCCAUGCUCAUGGCAUUUGGAGGUUCCAGGGCCGGGGAUCAUCCAAUCUGAGCUGUAGCUACAGCAAAGCCAGGUCCUUAACCCACUGCAGGAACUCUAGUCAUAACUUUUUUUUUUUUUUUUUUUUUUUUGAGAUGGAAGUGAAUUUAUAAACUAACUUGGGAAACAUUACAUUCUUAUGAUAUUG